UUUAUUUUAGUGUUUAAGCACAUAAAACUUUGAAUUUUAAAGGAUUAAUUAAUUUAAUAAAUAAAU
Non-coding RNA from Apis florea (little honeybee), 66 nucleotides. Lineage: Eukaryota; Metazoa; Arthropoda; Insecta; Hymenoptera; Apidae. The record is from the annotation of a RefSeq genome assembly.